Homo sapiens (human) is the source of this 5563-nucleotide long non-coding RNA. RefSeq annotates it as GATB antisense RNA 1. NCBI's taxonomy places the organism in Eukaryota, Metazoa, Chordata, Mammalia, Primates, Hominidae. The record is from RefSeq and is a predicted model, not a curated record. The transcript has 2 exons.
GACGCCACAAUGACCGAGGACACUGAGUCUGGGGAGGGAUAAUCUCUCUGAGAUGAUGAAUCACUGCGUCUAAUCAGUGAGGACACCUCUCUGAUUCUCAGUGAUGUUCAGCUGAAAUGUGUGGCUUUCCUUCUCCCCCUGCUCCCCACCAAGAAGAUUCCUUUAUCAGAAAGCAGAUCUACACACUGGCCGAGUCUUCCAGAGCGCUGGGUCGGGGGGAGUGUGCUGUGUGGGCAGGGGGAGUGAGGAAGCCAGGAGGUGCUGAAUUCCUAUCAGAUAGCCACUGACUCUUAGGGCCACCACGUGACCUCCUGCUCUGCAGCGUCUCCAAGGGCAAUGACAUGAGGAUCUGCACUCAAGUGCCACAGAACAAGCCUGAAACUACUGGCACGUCUUUAUCAGUCACCACAGAUGAGGCAGGAAGACGAGGCUGUGGAGGCCCAGUGCAGGCUCAUUUUCCUUAUCGAGAGCUCUUUACAGAGCUGUGAGUGUCCCCGGCAAGCUGAUGGGUGGGUGGGUAUUAUUCUGAAAAAGAUGCCGACAAUUUUUUUCCCCACUGAAAAAAUAUCUCUAGACAAUAUGAUUAGACUUGGGGAGGGAGGGAUGCCACUCGUUUUAGCUUUUAUGUCUUGUGCUGUGCUAAGAACACAAAAUGACCUGGUUUUCAGUCAUGCUCCUGUCAGGGAUUUUCUCCACAAUUUAUGAAUACUUUUCCCUUCUGCCUUUCUUCCCACCUCUUAGAAGCAUGAAGCUGAAGUUCCUGUACUCUCCCUGCUCUGCCGGCACACCUGCUGGUUCUUUACUGGGAGGUCCUUAGGAAGUAGCGCUAACCACAACAGAUUCGAAAUGCCAACCCUGGGAGAGGGCGACACACCUGGGAGGUCACAGCUUGGAUUUCGUGAGCUUGCUGACACCCUUUUAAACUACACCUCCAUGGAGAGUAAACUCCAGGGGUGGCAUCCUUCUUAUAGGAAAAGAAGUUGUGUUUUUCCAAUAUCCACCUAUUUCAUCUCUUCUGACCUUAACUAAAAAGAUGACAGUGAGGGAAUUAUUGAUGAAACUGGGUCAGCCAUUCUUAGGAAGAGCCUCUGGGCUGCCACAGGGAGCGAUGGCGAGGCUCUUGGGCAUGUCCUGGGGCUGGCUCUGGCCCUCUCCCCUGCCCGAGAUAGUCACCACUUGAGGAUGGGCCUCCAUCACAGAGUGGCAGAGCUGCUCCAGUGCCCCCUGGUCCUGCAUCAGUUCAAGCUGCUUUUCUGAAACAAUCUGCCCUGGAGUCUUGCCUUCCCUCUUCCACAGUUCCUCAAACACCUAUGGACCAGAGAAGGGAGAGGAAAGAGAAAUGAGAAGUCAGCUCUUCUGCCAGCUCCAUUUGCAGUGCUGUGCUGUGUGGAGCUGGGGUGGGAAUGAGCAGAUUCAAUUAAGUCCCCACUGCCUGGGCCUGGCCCAAAGGGAAAGGGCACCUGGCUGCCCUGCCAGAGCGUUGGCUCUCCUGAGGCAUCCCUGAGUGCAGGGCUGGGGAACAAGGCCAGCUAGGUGGAGUGAAUGCACCUGGGGUCUCCUCCUGAGGCUGAAGUCUCCCUCAGCAUAAGGUGUGAGAGGACUCGGGCCAGCCAGAUGCCCUCGUGCCCAGAGGGAUGGUGAGUCCUGCCCGGCUGACUCCACAUGGCGGGGGGGGGCCGCGGGAGGCGUGGAGGUGCCCAUCACUCAUGGGCGCCUGCUGACGGGAGUCGGCGGGCCACUGAUGGAUCUGUCUCAUGGCCGCCGAAUUAAUUGAGGUGACAUUUUGGUGAAGGAUGGGGCCACACAGCCUGCAGGAGGUAACCACGGUACUAAAUAAAGUCCAGAAACAGCAUGCUGGGAAAGAUGACUUUAGGGAGGCAGGAAAGUAGCCCCGUAAUGAAGAUACAAAAUGGCAAACAACUGAAAACAUAAAUUAGAAUCCACAGGGGCCCCCUGGCCUACCACAUUCAUCUCCUACAGGUAGAGCCGGACCCAAAUCAGACUAGGAUAAUGAACGCUAAUGUUUGGGGCAUUUUUUUUUUACUUAAAAAAUGACAACAACAAAUCCCCAAAUUCAUCAAACCUGAGAAAAAGGAAACCAUUUUCAAGGAAGGCUAUUUCCUAGGGUAGCUGUUUUCCUCAUUUCUCUUGUCUUCUAGCGAAAGCCAGAAUUGGGAGCCGGGAGGAGGGCUUCCUCUGUUGGUCUCCCACCGGUGCCACCUCCGUCCAGUCCACAGUCAUGACUGAACACCCAACUUUCCCUGUUACCUUGGUGGCCGAGAACGGGCCAACCAGGAGCCAUUCCUCCUGGAAAAACAGAGCUCUUCCAUAAUUAGCACGAACAGCAAAGCAAAUAAAAGGGAGAUGCUCUGAGUCUCAGCAGGGCUCAAAGUCUUCCCCAGUCUGAUUCAAAAACAAACCACAAAUACUUAUCACUGCUGGGACAGGCACUGCGCCUUCAGCCUGGUGCCUCAGAACGUGCGCUGUGACUGUGGCCAAGGAGGUGUGCUUGGCAGGUCCUGGGUAAGCUCCCUACAGGGCACCCCUCUGCCGCUGCCCGACUGCUCAGGAAAAGCCUGGCCCUACUCUUAGAAAAAUACAGAAUGCACGUGCCUCCAACUCAAUUCAGCAGAUAUGUACGUGGCCUGACAAUGAGGAAACCAUUGGGAGAAAGGGGGCACAGAAGCGGGAAGAAACUUCCUCACUCUCAACAUGCUUAUCAGUGGAGUGCUGCCAGCAGAAGCACUGGGGACCUGGAUGGCGUUCCAUGGAGCUGCCCUGUAAGUCGGAGGAGUCCAUCUGCCCCCUUUCUCUGACACGUUUAUUUUUUGAACUAGGACUUAAAUUUUAAAAAUCAUUUUCUAAUAAUAAAAGUUAAUACACAUUCACUGCAGAAAAUAUAAGGAAAUACAGGAGAGAUCAAAAGAGAUCACCGGAAUUCCCAUUUUCUCAAGAAAACCAAUGUUAAUAUUUUGGUGUUUUUUCUUCCCAUCUUUUUCUUUCUGUUUUGUAACAUACUUGGGAUCAUAACGUAUAUUCAGUUUGUGUCCUGCUUUCUUUCAUUUAGCACAGAAGUACUUUCUUAAUAAAAAGAUCUAGCUAGUAUCCAUCAGAUGUAUUUAUCAUAAUUUAUCCCCUCCUCGUAGAUAUCUAGACUUUGACCAGUGUUGAUUUUGUUCAUCUGCACAGACUCCCAAAAAAGCUCCUAGCUGAAAACCUGGCUCAAAACAGAAACCACCUGUAAGGACUUGCUCGUGAAAAAUCUACGCAGCAGUUCCCUCCAGGAAAACCAGGCGGACGAGCAGCCUGUGCCUGGAAGUAGGCGGGGCCCCUCCUGGGUCUGCGUCUGCAGACACAGACCAGGGAGCGAUUUCUCAGCGCCUGUGGUAGCUGCUGCGGUGGGAAGCACACGGCAGACCCUGAGCAGGCUGGCCAGUGAGCCAGCCUCUUUCUGACGGGACCCACAGCUCGAAUGUUGGCUGGAUUUGCCUGGGCCAAAAUAAGCGGAAGAGUGGCAGAGUGCUUGGGGAUCACUUCCAAUCACACCAUUCAGAAGGAGAAGCAGUGCACCUCUAGGACAGAUGCCUUCAAACGAAGAGGCUGGCUGCUCCCCGAGAAGGAGGGCCAGGCGGGGUGGUACCAAGCAGUGCCGCUAGAGAAACAUCAUUCAGCAGCCUCCUGGAACACAUGGGAGCCCGGUGGCUGAAAUGUCCUUUCCUCCCAGAGUUAGAAUACAUAAUGUUAGUUAACUCCACAAAUUAGUGCAGUGGCCAUGACAGUCGAGGCCCCCAGUCCCCAGUCCCCUAGGCUUAUACAACAGACGCCGGUUGUCCCAUCCUUUGCUCAAUCCUAUUUAAGACGAGGAUUGUGCACUCCUGGCUGGAGUCCAGGAGGGUGGGAGCCACUGGGUGGUAGUGGAGCGGCCCUGUCUCCAGGCCAGACUCUCCUGCUCCUGGCCCUCUUGACGCUCACAGAGUGGCCUCUGUGGCUGCCGAGCCCUGUGCUGCAGCAUAAAUCCUCAGCUUUUGUCUGUGUUUAAUCCCACCCUGAGAAGUGAUAUCCAAGUGCAACUGUUUCCAGCCAGGAGCGCAGCUCCCAGGCCCUGCUGCUGCCUACCCAAGACAAACAGAUGUAACAAGGAAUUUCUAGCACAGUGCUGGUCCUCUGUGUUAAUAAAUGGCCGACCAGGAGUACUGGGUAAUGCAAGCUGGGAACUCCCCAUCACACACAGACACUGGAGCCGGCUCUGACACAUGGGGCAGAGACUCGGCCUUUGGUUCCCUGAGGACUGAAUUUACACACCCUCUUAGUUGCCACCCAACUGUUUCUAGCUAAAGCUAUUUUUGAAGUAUCCUGAAGGAAAGCACACAAGACUCUAGCCUCUCCCUGCCUGUCCUGGGUUUCCAAGGUCAGGAUAUGGUGGAAAGACCUGUUCAAGGGACAUGGCAUGGAGGGAGCUGUCACAGUUACAGAGAAGGGAGCCCCCUUUUUGGUCAAAGGCAAGUAUUGUGAAAGGUUACUUUUCUAGAAAGGCACAAACAUCAACCCAAGCCCCUAAUAAAGCGGGGCCCAGUAAACUGUGCAGAUAACUGAAGCACUAAAGAGAGAAAAAGACAUCUAGUCAUUUGUAAUACAGCUUUGGUGCAUGAUAUAUAACAUUUUGUACAUUAAAAGGUUUUUGGCGAUUUCUCUUUAAAGCAGACCACAAAGUAGACAAGAGAUUGGUUAUUAUGGAACACUUGUGUGUUAAACGCGAUUUCCAUCUCUGCGGCACCCAAUUCCAGAAACGUUAACUGGACAAUCCUCAGGGGAUGGUGGAUCAUCUGCAUCUGUUUCCAGACGUGCAUGAAGGAUCUCCUUCGUACACCUACACAACCCAUGCGAUUUCCCUUGAACCAUGACUAACCAGCUGUCUGGACGACAUCCAGGGCGAGUCACAAGAGGCUUGGGAAUCCUGGGAGGCUGUUUUCAGAUUAUGGAAAUGCAAAUCAAAUCCUCCCUGAUACGACUUCACACCCACUAGGACGGCUAUAGAAUCAAAAAGAUGGACAAUAACAAGUGCUGGUGAGGACAUGGAGCAACUGGAACCCUUGCACACUAACAGGUGAGACUGUAAGAUGGUGCGGCCAUUUUAGAAUACAGUCUGGCACUUCCUCAUUAUAUGAAUGAAACACAGCAUUACCAUAUGACCCAGAAAUUCCAUUCCUAUAGGUAUACAUCCAGCCUGUGUGCAAAAACUUGUACAUGAAUGUUUAAGGCUGCAUUAUUCCUAAUAGCCAAAAUGUGGAAACAACUCAAAUGUCCAUCAACUGAUGAAUGGACAGACAAAAUGGAAUGUGUCCGUACAAUGGUGAAGGGGCUUGGCAGACGAGCAGCCCCAUUUAGCCCUAAAAAGGCGUGAAGGACUGAUGCGUGCCGCAACACAGAUGUACUUUUCAUAAAAUGUCCAGAUAAAAUAAAAAUAAAUAAAUAAUACAAAGUCAAUAAAUACAUAAAAUAUCCAGAUAAAAUGCUUGACACUAUAUAAUUAAUAAUAAGAAAUAAACUAAAAAAAAGUACACCA